CAAAAACAUUGCCUUUUGAAAUAAAUAUAAAAGGUUCAUCCUGCCCGGUGAUUUUUUAACGGCCGCGGUACCCUGACCGUGCAAAGGUAGCAUAAUCAUUUGCCUUUUAAUUGAAGGCUAGUAUGAAUGGACAAAUGUAGAUUUAGCUGUCUCUAAUAUAUAUACAUAAAUUAAUCUCUAGGUGAAGAAGCCUGGAUAAUAAUAAAAGACAAGAAGACCCUAUUGAGCUUCACUUUAACUUUAAUCCCUUAAUAUUUAUAUAUCAAAAUUUAAAGAAUUAAGUUUGGUUGGGGCGACAAGGGAAAAUAAAAAUCUUCCCAUUUUUUCCAGAUCUACACAUCACUUUAUGACCCGUUUUAUCGAUCAAAGGAAAAAGCUACCAUAGGGAUAACAGGCUAAUUCUUCUAAAGAGCCCACAUUGAUAGAAGAGAUUGGCACCUCGAUGUUGGCUUAGAAUAUCCCCCCGGUGUAGCAGCCGAGAAAGGUUGGUUUGUUCAACCAUAAAAAUUCUACGUGAUCUGA
This 522-nucleotide ribosomal RNA is filed under the name Aglaophamus pulcher. RNAcentral's name for it is "partial 16S ribosomal RNA". It matches the Rfam family "Bacterial large subunit ribosomal RNA", at positions 1808 to 2608 of the family's 2925-position model. The record is from RNAcentral. Lineage: Eukaryota; Metazoa; Annelida; Polychaeta; Phyllodocida; Nephtyidae.